Dentipellis sp. KUC8613 is the source of this 86-nucleotide non-coding RNA. The record is from the annotation of a GenBank genome assembly. Lineage: Eukaryota; Fungi; Basidiomycota; Agaricomycetes; Russulales; Hericiaceae.
CCUUCGAUAGCUCAGUUGGAAGAGCGCGAGACUGUAACGGGAAAUACGUGAUCUUGAGGUCGCUGGUUCGAUCCCGGCUCGAAGGA